GACGAACCGUGCUAACGUUGUUCGGAAUCAUUGGGCUUAAAGGGCGCGUAGGCGGGUCAGCAAGUCAGGGGUGAAAUCCCACGGCUCAACCGUGGAAGAGCCUGUGAUACUGCUGAUCUUGAGGGAGGUAGGGGCGUGCGGAACUUCCGGUGGAGCGGUGAAAUGCGUAGAUAUCGGAAGGAACACCGGUGGCGAAAGCGACGCGCUGGACCUCUUCUGACGCUGAGGCGCGAAAGCCAGGGGAGCAAACGGG
This 253-nucleotide ribosomal RNA is filed under the name uncultured bacterium. Its description in RNAcentral is "partial 16S ribosomal RNA". It matches the Rfam family "Bacterial small subunit ribosomal RNA", at positions 524 to 776 of the family's 1533-position model. The record is from RNAcentral.